Molecule: long non-coding RNA, 292 nt
Organism: Ailuropoda melanoleuca (giant panda)
Lineage: Eukaryota; Metazoa; Chordata; Mammalia; Carnivora; Ursidae
Exons: 3
Source: RefSeq, a predicted model, not a curated record
GCCGUGAGCAUGCCGAAAUCAUUGUGGUAGUGUGCUGCUGCGUUUGGAGGUGAUUUCUUAAGCACUAACAGCUGACCAGAGCAAAAGCCCUUGUCAUAGUACUGUGGAUUAUUUCAUUCCCUAGCAUAUAGUUAAUUUUUCGAUGUGUUCCUGUGGCAUGCAAAGAAUUUACACGUUGAUGCUGUUUGGUAUUCUCACGGUGAGGAGCUUGAAGACAGUGAGGGAAGGCUGGCAGAUUUAUGCAAGAAGCCCAGGACACUUCUGGGGAGUGAAGGGACUGAGAUCCCCUCCC